AGAUGCGAUCAUACCAGCUCUAACGCAACGGAUCCCAUCAAAACUCCGAAGUUAAGCGUGCUUGGGCGAGAGUAGUAGUAGGAUGAGUGACCUCCUGGGAAGUCCUUGUGUUGCGUCCC
RNAcentral lists this ribosomal RNA (119 nucleotides) under Nicotiana sylvestris (wood tobacco). The record is from RNAcentral. Lineage: Eukaryota; Viridiplantae; Streptophyta; Magnoliopsida; Solanales; Solanaceae.